This 1284-nucleotide long non-coding RNA is filed under the name Vulpes vulpes (red fox). RNAcentral's name for it is "lncRNA (ENSVVUG00000017098.1)". Lineage: Eukaryota; Metazoa; Chordata; Mammalia; Carnivora; Canidae. The record is from RNAcentral.
GGAGCAGGACGAGCUAAUUACAGAGCCCGCUGCGGGCUGCCGGGCACCCCAGCUUGGCCACUUUAACUGUGCUCCUGCGCUCACUGGGCUCCAAGUUGACGCAACUUUUCCAAGAGUAUCUGAAAGGCCUGAAUAGAAACCUCAGGGGUCCUGGAAUCCAGCGGGGCAGAGGGGAGUCUCCGGCAAGCCCCCUGCCCUCCCAGGGAUCUGCCACUCCCGUGCGCCUCGGCGGGAGGAGCGCACGGCUCGGCUGGGCCAGGCCAGGAGUUGGAGGGAGGCCUGCUUGCUCGCCGCGAAGACUCUGGGGAGGCCAGGACCAGGGGACGGAGGGGGUCGGCUGGAGGGUCUGCAUGGCAGGAGGAGCCGCGCCAGAGGGCCGGGCGCGCUGCGGCAGCGCCCGGGGCUGUCUCCACCUCUUCUGGCAAGUUGGACCUAUGAGUGCGCAGCUCGACUUACAACCGUCAACAGCCCGGGCGGGUGAGCGCGUGUGAGCGCCGGGGGCUCGGGACCCCGCACUUCCUCGCAGGCCUCUCCGCGCACAGCGGGCGCCCCGGCCGUCCGGCCAGCCCCGACGGGAUGCCCGCGACCAUGCUCCCCUACGCGUGCGUCCUGGUGCUUUUGGGAGAUACUUACCAGUUUAGGUACCUGAGCUGGGGCAUGCCUGAACCUCGGGCCUCCAGUGUGAAUUUGGCACAGGAUGGCGCGCACGCGGCCCAGCGGGUGAGUUCCCACUGAGUGUACACACACACACACACACACACACACACACACACACACACAGCCCCCCAAGCAAAUAAACUUUAAAAUGGGGUAACAUUUGAAUUUGUAUUUAUUUAUUCAAGAAUUAAGCCAUGGGGGCCUGUAAUGUUAGUGGGAUGUUUUAGUACAGNCCCAGAUGCCGGCAGCAACAUCUUCCCGGUUAUGACAACCACAAAGGUCUCCAGACACCGCCCAAUGUCCCCCGUUCAAGGGGUGAGCGGGGAGCAACGGAGCCCCUGUCCGAGAACCCUUGGUAGGGCCAGACGGACCGCUGGUAGCUUUUCAAAUGAAUCUGUCAAAAUCACCAGUCCUGCUUUUAUCUCGAGCCAUAUACUUUGUGAUGGCAAGUUAUCAUCUCGAGGCAGAUUAACUAGAGCAGAGUCACGGGCCAUUCCGUAAUAAAUGAGUUGUUGGUGUGGGACUCCGUUUGCAAACCCGGAAUAGAAACCGGGAAGAGAAUGAACUUAAACACGCUCAUCCGAAAAUCAAAUGUGAAUAAAGAUCGGUUAUUGAAUUAGUUGUUCA